AUUCUCAGGGCGGGGUGUAAUUCCCCACCGGCGGUAAACAAUUUUUGUAAGCCCGCGAGCGCUUUGGUACUGCCAAGGGUCAGCAGAUCUGGUUAAAAUCCAGAGCCGACGGUUAAAGUCCGGAUGAAAGAGAAUG
RNAcentral lists this non-coding RNA (136 nucleotides) under marine eukaryotic metagenome. Its description in RNAcentral is "FMN riboswitch (RFN element)". It matches the Rfam family "FMN riboswitch aptamer (RFN element)". From Rfam's summary of the family: The RFN element is a highly conserved domain that is found frequently in the 5'-untranslated regions of prokaryotic mRNAs that encode for flavin mononucleotide (FMN) biosynthesis and transport proteins. This element is a metabolite-dependent riboswitch that directly binds FMN in the absence of proteins. In Bacillus subtilis, the riboswitch most likely controls gene expression by causing premature transcription termination within the 5' untranslated region of the ribDEAHT operon and precluding access to the ribosome-binding site of ypaA mRNA. The record is from RNAcentral.